This 229-nucleotide ribosomal RNA is filed under the name Serratia marcescens. Its description in RNAcentral is "partial 23S ribosomal RNA". It matches the Rfam family "Bacterial large subunit ribosomal RNA", at positions 2702 to 2925 of the family's 2925-position model. RNAcentral also lists the same sequence under 1 other name. The record is from RNAcentral. Lineage: Bacteria; Pseudomonadati; Pseudomonadota; Gammaproteobacteria; Enterobacterales; Yersiniaceae.
CGCACCACUGGUGUUCGGGUUGUCAUGCCAAUGGCAUUGCCCGGUAGCUAAGUGCGGAAAAGAUAAGCGCUGAAAGCAUCUAAGCGCGAAACUUGCCUCAAGAUGAGUCUUCCCUGGGCCUUUAAGGCCCCUGAAGGAACGUUUAAGACUAAGACGUUGAUAGGCUGGGUGUGUAAGUGCAGCGAUGCAUUGAGCUAACCAGUACUAAUGAUCCGUGAGGCUUAACCUU